AGUGAACGCUGGCGGCGUGGAUUAGGCAUGCAAGUCGAGCGAUCUCGCAAGAGAUAGCGGCAAACGGGUGAGGAAUACAUAGGUAAUCUUCCCUUAAAUCAGGAAUAGCCUUAUGAAAGUAGGGGUAAUGUCUGAUAGCAUCAUGAGGGCGCAUGUUCUUAUGAUUAAAGACAGGGACCUUCGGGCCUGUCGUUAGGGAUGAGCCGAUGUCAUCAGCUAGUUGGUGGGGUAACGGCUCACCAAGGCUAAGACAAGUAGCUGGUCUGAGAGGA
Molecule: ribosomal RNA, 272 nt
Filed under: uncultured bacterium
Lineage: Bacteria
Description: partial 16S ribosomal RNA
Rfam family: Bacterial small subunit ribosomal RNA
Source: RNAcentral